AACAUGUUGAGAUGUUACAACCUCAAGAAAGCAACAGACCUCUUACCUUUCAGUGAAGGCGAUUAAAAAGAAGACGGGAGACAGGAACAUCUGCUUUCUUUACACUGACAGUGACUACAUCAGCAGGAAGACGACAGGUCUGCAGGACCCCAAAAGCCCCCCAAGCAGCAGGUUUACCGUGAGCCUGCUGAUUUACAGAACAGGUCCAUCC
Molecule: long non-coding RNA, 211 nt
Filed under: Mustela putorius furo (domestic ferret)
Lineage: Eukaryota; Metazoa; Chordata; Mammalia; Carnivora; Mustelidae
Description: lncRNA (ENSMPUG00000024723.1)
Source: RNAcentral